AGUGAACGCUGGCGGUAGGCCUAACACAUGCAAGUCGAACGGCAGCACAGUAAGAGCUUGCUCUUACGGGUGGCGAGUGGCGGACGGGUGAGGAAUACAUCGGAAUCUACUUUUUCGUGGGGGAUAACGUAGGGAAACUUACGCUAAUACCGCAUACGACCUACGGGUGAAAGCAGGGGAUCUUCGGACCUUGCGCGAUUGAAUGAGCCGAUGUCGGAUUAGCUAGUUGGCGGGGUAAAGGCCCACCAAGGCGACGAUCCGUAGCUGGUCUGAGAGGAUGAUCAGCCACACUGGAACUGGGACACGGGCCCGACUCCUACGGGAGGCAGCCGUGGGGAAUAUUGGACAAUGGGCGCAAGCCUGAUCCAGCCCUACCGCGUGGGUGAAGAAGGCCUUCGGGUUUUAAAGCCCUUUUGUUGGGAAAGAAAAGCAGCAGGUUAAUACCCCGCUGUUCUGACGGUACCCAAAGAAUAAGCACCGGCUAACUUCGUG
RNAcentral lists this ribosomal RNA (492 nucleotides) under uncultured bacterium. Its description in RNAcentral is "partial 16S ribosomal RNA". It matches the Rfam family "Bacterial small subunit ribosomal RNA", at positions 29 to 507 of the family's 1533-position model. The record is from RNAcentral.